AACGAGCGAGAGAGAGCUUGCUUUCUCGAGCGAGUGGCGAACGGGUGAGUAACGCGUGAGGAACCUGCCUCAAAGAGGGGGACAACAGUUGGAAACGACUGCUAAUACCGCAUAAGCCCACGGGUCGGCAUCGAGCAGAGGGAAAAGGAGUGAUCCGCUUUGAGAUGGCCUCGCGUCCGAUUAGCUAGUUGGUGAGGUAACGGCCCACCAAGGCGACGAUCGGUAGCCGGACUGAGAGGGUGAACGGCCACAUUGGGACUGAGACACGGCCCAAACUCC
This 279-nucleotide ribosomal RNA is filed under the name uncultured Faecalibacterium sp. RNAcentral describes it as "partial 16S ribosomal RNA". It matches the Rfam family "Bacterial small subunit ribosomal RNA", at positions 65 to 339 of the family's 1533-position model. The record is from RNAcentral. Lineage: Bacteria; Bacillati; Bacillota; Clostridia; Eubacteriales; Oscillospiraceae.